CCCCGGUAAACGGCGGCCGUAACUAUAACGGUCCUAAGGUAGCGAAAUUCCUUGUCGGGUAAGUUCCGACCUGCACGAAUGGCGUAAUGAUGGCCAGGCUGUCUCCACCCGAGACUCAGUGAAAUUGAACUCGCUGUGAAGAUGCAGUGUACCCGCGGCAAGACGGAAAGACCCCGUGAACCUUUACUAUAGCUUGACACUGAACAUUGAGCCUUGAUGUGUAGGAUAGGUGGGAGGCUUUGAAGUGUGGACGCCAGUCUGCAUGGAGCCGACCUUGAAAUACCACCCUUUAAUGUUUGAUGUUCUAACGUGGACCCGUAAUCCGGGUUGCGGACAGUGUCUGGUGGGUAGUUUGACUGGGGCGGUCUCCUCCUAAAGAGUAACGGAGGAGCACGAAGGUUGGCUAAUCCUGGUCGGACAUCAGGAGGUUAGUGCAAUGGCAUAAGCCAGCUUGACUGCGAGCGUGACGGCGCGAGCAGGUGCGAAAGCAGGUCAUAGUGAUCCGGUGGUUCUGAAUGGAAGGGCCAUCGCUCAACGGAUAAAAGGUACUCCGGGGAUAACAGGCUGAUACCGCCCAAGAGUUCAUAUCGACGGCGGUGUUUGGCACCUCGAUGUCGGCUCAUCACAUCCUGGGGCUGAAGUAGGUCCCAAGGGUAUGGCUGUUCGCCAUUUAAAGUGGUACGCGAGCUGGGUUUAGAACGUCGUGAGACAGUUCGGUCCCUAUCUGCCGUGGGCGCUGGAGAACUGAGGGGGGCUGCUCCUAGUACGAGAGGACCGGAGUGGACGCAUCACUGGUGUUCGGGUUGUCAU
This 810-nucleotide ribosomal RNA is filed under the name Salmonella enterica. Its description in RNAcentral is "partial 23S ribosomal RNA". It matches the Rfam family "Bacterial large subunit ribosomal RNA", at positions 1918 to 2727 of the family's 2925-position model. Lineage: Bacteria; Pseudomonadati; Pseudomonadota; Gammaproteobacteria; Enterobacterales; Enterobacteriaceae. The record is from RNAcentral. RNAcentral also lists the same sequence under 1 other name.